UUGGGCGAUCAUAGAGGCGUGGUUUACCCGAACCCUUUUCGAACUCGGAAGUCAAGAACGCCGUCGUUCCGGACUGUACUGUUCUAUGUAACGGGAACUCCGGUUUGUUGCCCACU
RNAcentral lists this ribosomal RNA (116 nucleotides) under Candidatus Woesearchaeota archaeon. Lineage: Archaea; Nanobdellati; Candidatus Woesearchaeota. The record is from RNAcentral.